This is a long non-coding RNA of Fopius arisanus, 608 nucleotides long. RefSeq lists it as uncharacterized. The record is from RefSeq and is a predicted model, not a curated record. Lineage: Eukaryota; Metazoa; Arthropoda; Insecta; Hymenoptera; Braconidae. The transcript has 2 exons.
ACAAGAAGCAAGAAGCAUUAGUUAAAAAAAAACAACUAAAAUAAAAUAAACAGCGAGAACAGUUGAAUUCGAUUUUUCACUUUUGAAAUGUCAACUCGGGGCAGCAUAUACUCUCGAUGACGAGACAUAUUUCCUGGAAAGAGCUGAAAAGGUGUCUCGAUAUUGUCUCGGGUUACAUCCUUAUUACCCCCUCGACUUCAUCAAAUGAAAAAUAUCGGACACGACGUGUUUUGUUGGGCUGUGUUGGGUGUUGUUUGACUCCUAAAUUCGUAUGCAACCGAUGAUGAUGAGAAAUGGAGAAAGAGGAGAGGGUGAAACCCGGGUGAUGACGUCCCGUCGACUUCAAUCGUAUGAUGCCUCGUUGCCCUUGGGGUCUUGUGGCUAAGAGUGCGAAGGAAGAUCAAUGUGUGAGCAGGUGUCUGCGUGUGAGAAAUUAUUCGUCAAGGACGAUUGCUGGAGAUCGAUACACUUGUCAUCAUUUUUUUGACUCUAACAUUAUUUUUCAUUCAAUAUUCAAAAUUGACGAAUUGACACAAUUCUUUAUUGUCUUUCAUAAAUUCACUACGAAUUUCUUUUCCUCUUCAGAAACUGAUGGAAAAUUACUCGAA